RNAcentral lists this long non-coding RNA (218 nucleotides) under Elaeis guineensis (African oil palm). RNAcentral's name for it is "long non-coding RNA (EGUI_LNC022980)". The record is from RNAcentral. Lineage: Eukaryota; Viridiplantae; Streptophyta; Magnoliopsida; Arecales; Arecaceae.
CAUCCAUUAAUUUUUUUAGAUUUACUUAUAUAUGUUCACAAGAUUUAGCUGUCAUUGGAUCUUGACUACUAAGUAGGCUUGGCUAUGGGUCGGAUUGGAUGCGGAUUUGGGUCGAUCCGAACCUGACCCAAUAUCUCAAAAUCUUGAUCUGAACCCGCGACUCAGCAAGUCAACACUUUCCUAACCCAUACCCUACCCAGUAGGGUAUCGGAUUAUCC